RNAcentral lists this transfer RNA (75 nucleotides) under Candidatus Woesearchaeota archaeon. RNAcentral describes it as "tRNA-Ile". It matches the Rfam family "tRNA". From Rfam's summary of the family: Transfer RNA (tRNA) molecules are approximately 80 nucleotides in length. Their secondary structure includes four short double-helical elements and three loops (D, anti-codon, and T loops). The record is from RNAcentral. Lineage: Archaea; Nanobdellati; Candidatus Woesearchaeota.
GGGCCCGUAACUCAGCCUGGUUAGAGUGCUGCUCUGAUAAGGCAGAAGUCCUGUGUUCGAAUCACAGCGGGCCCA